This 67-nucleotide transfer RNA is filed under the name Euphausia superba (Antarctic krill). Its description in RNAcentral is "tRNA-Ile". The record is from RNAcentral. Lineage: Eukaryota; Metazoa; Arthropoda; Malacostraca; Euphausiacea; Euphausiidae.
CAUUAAAAAAUUUAAGCAAGAAUAAAACUUUUAAAUUUAAAAAUCAUAAUUACUACAUGAUCUAUGU